RNAcentral lists this ribosomal RNA (492 nucleotides) under uncultured bacterium. RNAcentral describes it as "partial 16S ribosomal RNA". It matches the Rfam family "Bacterial small subunit ribosomal RNA", at positions 29 to 507 of the family's 1533-position model. The record is from RNAcentral.
AGUGAACGCUGGCGGUAGGCCUAACACAUGCAAGUCGAACGGCAGCACAGUAAGAGCUUGCUCUUACGGGUGGCGAGUGGCGGACGGGUGAGGAAUACAUCGGAAUCUACUUUUUCGUGGGGGAUAACGUAGGGAAACUUACGCUAAUACCGCAUACGACCUACGGGCGAAAGCAGGGGAUCUUCGGACCUUGCGCGAUUGAAUGAGCCGAUGUCGGAUUAGCUAGUUGGCGGGGUAAAGGCCCACCAAGGCGACGAUCCGUAGCUGGUCUGAGAGGAUGAUCAGCCACACUGGAACUGAGACACGGUCCAGACUCCUACGGGAGGCAGCAGUGGGGAAUAUUGGGCAAUGGGCGCAAGCCUGAUCCAGCCAUACCGCGUGGGUGAAGAAGGCCUUCGGGUUGUAAAGCCCUUUUGUUGGGAAAGAAAAGCAGCAUGUUAAUACCCCGCUGUUCUGACGGUACCCAAAGAAUAAGCACCGGCUAACUUCGUG